AACGAACGCUGGCGGCAAGCUUAACACAUGCAAGUCGAACGGAUUGUUCUCGUAGCUUGCUAUGAGAACAAUUAGUGGCAGACGGGUGAGUAAUGCAUAGGAAUCUACCUAGUAGUAUAGGAUAGCCACUAGAAGUGGUGGGUAAUACUGUAUAAUCCCUGCGGGGGAAAGAUUUAUCGCUACAUGAUGAGCCUAUGUUAGAUUAGCUAGUUGGGGGGGUAAUGGCCUACCAAGGCAGUGAUCUAUAGCUGGUCUGAGAGGAUGAUCAGCCACACUGGAACUGAGACACGGUCCAGACUCCUACGGGAGGCAGCAGUGGGGAAUAUUGGACAAUGGGCGCAAGCCUGAUCCAGCUAUGCCGCGUGAGUGAGGAAGGCCUUAGGGUUGUAAAACUCUUUCAGUGGGGAAAAUAAUGACGGUACCCAC
Molecule: ribosomal RNA, 426 nt
Filed under: Anaplasma sp.
Lineage: Bacteria; Pseudomonadati; Pseudomonadota; Alphaproteobacteria; Rickettsiales; Anaplasmataceae
Description: bacterial SSU rRNA
Rfam family: Bacterial small subunit ribosomal RNA
Source: RNAcentral